GCUCCCUUAGCUCAGUUGGAUAGAGCAACGGCCUUCUAAGCCGUCGGUCACAGGUUCGAAUCCUGUAGGGGGCGCCA
Molecule: transfer RNA, 77 nt
Filed under: Citrobacter freundii
Lineage: Bacteria; Pseudomonadati; Pseudomonadota; Gammaproteobacteria; Enterobacterales; Enterobacteriaceae
Also listed under: 6 other names
Description: tRNA-Arg
Rfam family: tRNA
About the family: Transfer RNA (tRNA) molecules are approximately 80 nucleotides in length. Their secondary structure includes four short double-helical elements and three loops (D, anti-codon, and T loops). Further hydrogen bonds mediate the characteristic L-shaped molecular structure. tRNAs have two regions of fundamental functional importance: the anti-codon, which is responsible for specific mRNA codon recognition, and the 3' end, to which the tRNAs corresponding amino acid is attached (by aminoacyl-tRNA synthetases). tRNAs cope with the degeneracy of the genetic code in two manners: having more than one tRNA (with a specific anti-codon) for a particular amino acid; and 'wobble' base-pairing, i.e. permitting non-standard base-pairing at the 3rd anti-codon position.
Source: RNAcentral